This is a long non-coding RNA of Homo sapiens (human), 1344 nucleotides long. Ensembl annotates it as NSUN5 pseudogene 1. Its record names the gene NSUN5P1. The record is from Ensembl. Lineage: Eukaryota; Metazoa; Chordata; Mammalia; Primates; Hominidae.
GGGAACAUGGGGCUGUACGCUGCGGUGGCAGGCGUGCUGGCCGGCGUGGAGAGCCGCCAGGGCUCUAUCAAGGGGCUGGUGUACUCCAGCAACUUCCAGCCUUGAUGACUUACAAGCCCUCAAGGGGAAGCAUUUUCUCCUGGACUCCUUGAUGCCGGAGCUGCUGGUGUUUCCCGCCCAGACAGAUCUGCAUGAACACCCACUGUACCGGGCCGGACACCUCAUUCUGCAGGACAGGGCCAGCUGUCUCCCAGCCAUGCUGCUGGACCCCUGCCAGGCUCCCAUGUCAUCGAUGCCUGUGCCGCCCCAGGCAAUAAGACCAGUCACUUGGCUGCUCUUCUGAAGAACCAAGGGAAGAUCUUUGCCUUUGACCUGGAUGCCAAGCGGCUGGCAUCCAUGGCCACGCUGCUGGCCUGGGUUGGCGUCUCCUGCUGUGAGCUGGCUGAGGAGGACUUCCUGGCGGUCUCCCCCUUAGAUCCGCGCUAUCGUGAGGUCCACUAUGUCCUGCUGGAUCCUUCCUGCAGUGGCUCGGGUGAGAUGGUGAGAAGGCGUGGCUGAGGGACUCGGAGGUCCACAGCAGCUUAGACCUGGAGUCAUCUGUUUUGGUCUUAGUUCUGACACUUUAAUGGGCUUGGGACCCUGGAGCAAAAGUUCUCCUCUGUGAGGCAAGGAUUUCAGGAGCGAGGAUUUCAGGACUGAGGCAGCCUGUGAAGCUGUGUAACCGAGACACGCUUUUCCUUAGCGGCUCGUCUACUCCAUGUGCUCCCUCUGCCAGGAGGAGAAUGAAGACAUGGUACCAGAUGCGCUGCAGCAGAACCCGGGCGCCUUCAGGCUAGCUCCCGCCCUGCCUGCCCGGCCCCACCGAGGCCUGAGCACGUUCCCGGGUGCCGAGCACUGCCUCCGGGCUUCCCCCAAGACCACGCUUAGCGGUGGCUUCUUCGUUGCUGUAAUUGAACGGGUCGAGAUGCCGAUGUGAGUGAGUGGGGGCAUGCUUGGGAGGCGCAGGAUGGUACUGGCACAUCUAACAUCUACACUUCUCUAGCUCAGCCUCACAGGCCAAAGCAUCAGCACCAGAACGCACACCCAGCCCAGCCCCAAAGAGAAAGAAGAGACAGCAAAGAGCCGCAGCCGGUGCUUGCACACCGCCUUGCACAUAGCAGAGGCUCCAGGCUGACUCCUUCCUGGUGGGAAAGGAAGAUGCCUGUCCUCUCCGUGGAGGACCCUGGGCCCUCACCGCAGGCAGCAGUUUGCAUUUUGAAAGGUUAUUGGGUCCCUUCCUCGGGCUGUGUUCUUGCUGGUGAGCAAAAGUGUUGCCUGCAGAAAUAAAAUGCAGAACGUACUCUA